RNAcentral lists this ribosomal RNA (644 nucleotides) under uncultured bacterium. RNAcentral's name for it is "bacterial SSU rRNA". It matches the Rfam family "Bacterial small subunit ribosomal RNA", at positions 13 to 651 of the family's 1533-position model. The record is from RNAcentral.
UUGAUCAUGGCUCAGAUUGAACGCUGGCGGCAGGCUUAACACAUGCAAGUCGAGCGGAGAGAGGUAGCUUGCUACUGAUCUUAGCGGCGGACGGGUGAGUAAUACUUAGGAAUCUGGCUAUUAGUGGGGGACAACAUUUCGAAAGGGAUGCUAAUACCGCAUACGUCCUACGGGAGAAAGCAGGGGAUCUUCGGACCUUGCGCUAAUAGAUGAGCCUAAGUCGGAUUAGCUAGUUGGUGGGGUAAAGGCCUACCAAGGCGACGAUCUGUAGCGGGUCUGAGAGGAUGAUCCGCCACACUGGGACUGAGACACGGCCCAGACUCCUACGGGAGGCAGCAGUGGGGAAUAUUGGACAAUGGGGGGAACCCUGAUCCAGCCAUGCCGCGUGUGUGAAGAAGGCCUUAUGGUUGUAAAGCACUUUAAGCGAGGAGGAGGGUACUGGUAUUAAUACUACCAGGUACUGGACGUUACUCGCAGAAUAAGCACCGGCUAACUCUGUGCCAGCAGCCGCGGUAAUACAGAGGGUGCGAGCGUUAAUCGGAUUUACUGGGCGUAAAGCGUGCGUAGGCGGCUAAUUGAGUCGGAUGUGAAAUCCCCGAGCUUAACUUGGGAAUUGCAUUCGAUACUGGUUAGCUAGAGUGUGG